CCAGCUUGCUGGGUGGAUUAGUGGCGAACGGGUGAGUAACACGUGGGUGAUCUGCCCUGCACUCUGGGAUAAGCCUGGGAAACUGGGUCUAAUACCGGAUAUGACCUCGGGAUGCAUGUCCUGGGGUGGAAAGUUUUUCGGUGCAGGAUGAGCCCGCGGCCUAUCAGCUUGUUGGUGGGGUAAUGGCCUACCAAGGCGACGACGGGUAGCCGGCCUGAGAGGGCGACCGGCCACACUGGGACUGAGACACGGCCCAGACUCCUACGGGAGGCAGCAGUGGGGAAUAUUGCACAAUGGGCGCAAGCCUGAUGCAGCGACGCCGCGUGAGGGAUGACGGCCUUCGGGUUGUAAACCUCUUUCAGCAGGGACGAAGCGCAAGUGACGGUACCUGCAGAAGAAGCACCGGCCAACUACGUGCCAGCAGCCGCGGUAAUACGUAGGGUGCGAGCGUUGUCCGGAAUUACUGGGCGUAAAGAGCUCGUAGGCGGUUUGUCGCGUCGUCUGUGAAAUCCCGCAGCUCAACUGCGGGCUUGCAGGCGAUACGGGCAGACUCGAGUACUGCAGGGGAGACUGGAAUUCCUGGUGUAGCGGUGAAAUGCGCAGAUAUCAGGAGGAACACCGGUGGCGAAGGCGGGUCUCUGGGCAGUAACUGACGCUGAGGAGCGAAAGCGUGGGUAGCGAACAGGAUUAGAUACCCUGGUAGUCCACGCCGUAAACGGUGGGCGCUAGGUGUGGGUUUCCUUCCACGGGAUCCGUGCCGUAGCCAACGCAUUAAGCGCCCCGCCUGGGGAGUACGGCCGCAAGGCUAAAACUCAAAGGAAUUGACGGGGGCCCGCACAAGCGGCGGAGCAUGUGGAUUAAUUCGAUGCAACGCGAAGAACCUUACCUGGGUUUGACAUGUACCGGACGACUGCAGAGAUGUGGUUUCCCUUGUGGCCGGUAGACAGGUGGUGCAUGGCUGUCGUCACUCCUGUCGUGAGAUGUUGGGUUAAGUCCCGCAACGAGCGCAACCCUUGUCCUGUGUUGCCAGCACGUGAUGGUGGGGACUCGCAGGAGACUGCCGGGGUCAACUCGGAGGAAGGUGGGGACGACGUCAAGUCAUCAUGCCCCUUAUGUCCAGGGCUUCACACAUGCUACAAUGGUCGGUACAGAGGGCUGCGAUACCGUGAGGUGGAGCGAAUCCCUUAAAGCCGGUCUCAGUUCGGAUCGGGGUCUGCAACUCGACCCCGUGAAGUCGGAGUCGCUAGUAAUCGCAGAUCAGCAACGCUGCGGUGAAUACGUUCCCGGGCCUUGUACACACCGCCCGUCACGUCAUGAAAGUCGGUAACACCCGAAGCCGGUGGCCUAACCCCU
RNAcentral lists this ribosomal RNA (1353 nucleotides) under Rhodococcus rhodochrous. Its description in RNAcentral is "bacterial SSU rRNA". It matches the Rfam family "Bacterial small subunit ribosomal RNA", at positions 75 to 1443 of the family's 1533-position model. The record is from RNAcentral. Lineage: Bacteria; Bacillati; Actinomycetota; Actinomycetes; Mycobacteriales; Nocardiaceae.